RNAcentral lists this ribosomal RNA (497 nucleotides) under uncultured bacterium. RNAcentral describes it as "partial 16S ribosomal RNA". It matches the Rfam family "Bacterial small subunit ribosomal RNA", at positions 341 to 855 of the family's 1533-position model. The record is from RNAcentral.
ACGGGGAGGCAGCAGUGGGGAAUCUUNGACAAUGGGCGCAAGCCUGAUCUAGCCAUGCCGCGUGAGUGAUGAAGGCCUUAGGGUCGUAAAGCUCUUUCGCCAGGGAUGAUAAUGACAGUACCUGGUAAAGAAACCCCGGCUAACUCCGUGCCAGCAGCCGCGGUAAUACGGAGGGGGUUAGCGUUGUUCGGAAUUACUGGGCGUAAAGCGUACGUAGGCGGAUCAGAAAGUAAGGGGUGAAAUCCCAGGGCUCAACCCUGGAACUGCCUNNNAAACUNNNGGUCUUGAGUUCGAGAGAGGUGAGUGGAAUUCCNAGUGUAGAGGUGAAAUUCGUAGAUAUUCGGAGGAACACCAGUGGCGAAGGCGGCUCACUGGCUCGAUACUGACGCUGAGGUACGAAAGUGUGGGGAGCAAACAGGAUUAGAUACCCUGGUAGUCCACACCGUAAACGAUGAAUGCCAGUCGUCGGGCAGNAUNCUNUUCGGUGNCACACCUAA